Molecule: ribosomal RNA, 253 nt
Filed under: uncultured bacterium
Lineage: Bacteria
Description: partial 16S ribosomal RNA
Rfam family: Bacterial small subunit ribosomal RNA
Source: RNAcentral
UACAGAGGUCUCAAGCGUUGUUCGGAUUCAUUGGGCGUAAAGGGCGCGUAGGCGGCACGGCAAGUCAGGAGUGAAAGCCCUGGGCUCAACCCGGGAACUGCUUUUGAAACUGCCGAGCUAGAGUGCGGAAGGGGCAACUGGAAUUCCCAGUGUAGCGGUGAAAUGCGUAGAUAUUGGGAAGAACACCUGAGGCGAAGGCGGGUUGCUGGGCCGACACUGACGCUGAUGCGCGAAAGCCAGGGGAGCGAACGGG